Molecule: ribosomal RNA, 136 nt
Filed under: uncultured eukaryote
Lineage: Eukaryota
Description: partial 18S ribosomal RNA
Rfam family: Eukaryotic small subunit ribosomal RNA
Source: RNAcentral
UGGUGGAGCGAUUUGUCUGGUUAAUUCCGAUAACGAACGAGACUCUGGCCUACUAAAUAGUGGGCGGAUUCAGUUCGUCCGCAACACUUCUUAGAGGGACAAGCGGUGUUCAGCCGCACGAGAUUGAGCAAUAACA